This 434-nucleotide ribosomal RNA is filed under the name uncultured Clostridium sp. RNAcentral's name for it is "partial 16S ribosomal RNA". It matches the Rfam family "Bacterial small subunit ribosomal RNA", at positions 341 to 792 of the family's 1533-position model. The record is from RNAcentral. Lineage: Bacteria; Bacillati; Bacillota; Clostridia; Eubacteriales; Clostridiaceae.
ACGGGAGGCAGCAGUGGGGAAUAUUGCACAAUGGGGGAAACCCUGAUGCAGCGACGCCGCGUGAGUGAAGAAGUUAUUCGUAAUGUAAAGCUCUAUCAGCAGGGAAGAAAAUGACGGUACCUGACUAAGAAGCCCCGGCUAACUACGUGCCAGCAGCCGCGGUAAUACGUAGGGGGCAAGCGUUAUCCGGAUUUACUGGGUGUAAAGGGAGCGUAGACGGUAUGGCAAGUCUGAUGUGAAAACCCAGGGCUCAACCCUGGGACUGCAUUGGAAACUGUCAAACUAGAGUGCAGGAGAGGUAAGUGGAAUUCCUAGUGUAGCGGUGAAAUGCGUAGAUAUUAGGAGGAACACCAGUGGCGAAGGCGGCUUACUGGACUGUAACUGACGUUGAGGCUCGAAAGCGUGGGGAGCAAACAGGAUUAGAUACCCUGGUA